AGUUUCCCACUUAUGUGGCCC
RNAcentral lists this small nuclear RNA (21 nucleotides) under Arabidopsis thaliana (thale cress). RNAcentral describes it as "snRNA_08615". The record is from RNAcentral. Lineage: Eukaryota; Viridiplantae; Streptophyta; Magnoliopsida; Brassicales; Brassicaceae.